This 891-nucleotide long non-coding RNA is filed under the name Ananas comosus (pineapple). RNAcentral's name for it is "long non-coding RNA (ACOM_LNC015252)". The record is from RNAcentral. Lineage: Eukaryota; Viridiplantae; Streptophyta; Magnoliopsida; Poales; Bromeliaceae.
ACUUUAUAUUUUUAUUUAGUGAACUUUGAGCUUUAUGUCCUUUCCUUGUUAUAGAACUAGUUAUACAUUGCUCUGAUAUCACUAGAUCUCUUGUAUUAUUGUUUUAUCUAUCGAAAUUUUUGUAGACGCCUUAUAUGUUUUAGACGUAUGGCGUGUAUGGGCACGCGCCGGGUAGGCUUCCGCUCAGCCCCGGGGCGUGACACUAAGUACUUUUAUUGUUAAUGAAGUUUUAUUACUUGUUUACAAAUUGUGGAUUUGAUGUAAGUUUGUUUAUAUAUAUGUGUGCGUGUGUGUAUGUAUUUAUAUCAUUGUGCAUGCAAAGUAAUUAUGUGCAUGGUUAAAAAUAAUAAAUGGUCAAAAAUAAAUUAUGAUGAAAUGCAAUAUUUGUAUCAUUAACGACGGGAAGAACAGUCGUUGUUAUAUUAUCUUCUUCUAUUUGUGAAAUGCUUUUAACGACGAAAAAUUUUUGGUCGUUAUUAACACUAUGAAUAGGAUAAAUGUAGUUUUUGUAAUCUCUAUUACGAUAGUAAAAUUAGUGGUUAUUGUACAAUGGAGUGGUUACUAAUGUAACUAAAUAACAACGAUAAACGAUGUGGUCGUGAGUAAUCUAUAACGACUAGCGAUUCAUUUUGGUCGUAACUGGUUUUAACGAAGGAAGCUUUUACGACGGGUCACGACGGGUGAACUGUUCGUCGUUAUUGACUUUUAACGACGGGAAUCUGGGCAUAUAACGACGGUUUCUCCUUUCGUUAAAUAAGGUAUUUCCUGUAGUGAGAUUGGUUUAUGGUAAAAAUUCGAUUUGACGCUUCCGUUGCGAAAUCCCAACAAUCGGUACCAAAUCAACAGCAAUCGGUAUCAGAGCAGGUUGCGGAUUCUCAAGAUCUGGUACCG